This 495-nucleotide ribosomal RNA is filed under the name uncultured bacterium. RNAcentral's name for it is "partial 16S ribosomal RNA". It matches the Rfam family "Bacterial small subunit ribosomal RNA", at positions 28 to 507 of the family's 1533-position model. The record is from RNAcentral.
GACGAACGCUGGCGGCGUGCCUAAUACAUGCAAGUAGAACGCUGAAGGCGGAGCUUGCUCUUCUGGGUGAGUUGCGAACGGGUGAGUAACGCGUAGGUAACCUGCCUGGUAGCGGGGGGUAUGCUAUGGAAACGUAAGCUAAUACCGCAUAACAGUAGAUGUUGCAUGAUAUUUGCGCAAAAGGUGCACUUGCUUCACUACCAGAAGGCCAUGCGUUGUAUGAGCUAGGGGUUGGGGUAACGGCUAACCAAGCCGACGAUGCAUAGCAGACCAGAGAGGGGGAUCGGCCUCGCUGGGACUGGGGCACGGCCCAGAACCCUGCGAGUGGCAGCAGUAGGGGAUUCUCGGGGAUGGACGGAAGGGUGACUAAGCGACGCCGCGUGAGUGAAUAAGGUUGUCGGAUCGUAUAGCUCAGUUAUGAGUUAGGAUCGUAUAUGAGUGUGGAACGUGAAGACUGUGACGGUAUCGGACGAGAAAGGGACGGCUAACUACGUG